Molecule: ribosomal RNA, 431 nt
Filed under: uncultured bacterium
Lineage: Bacteria
Description: partial 16S ribosomal RNA
Rfam family: Bacterial small subunit ribosomal RNA
Source: RNAcentral
CGAACGCUGGCGGCAUGCCUACCACAUGCAAGUCGACCGAGACCUUCGGGUCUAGUGGCGCACGGGUGCGUAACGCGUGGGAACCUGCCCUUAGGUUCGGAAUAACUCCCCGAAAGGGGUGCUAAUACCGGAUAAUGUCUUCGGACCAAAGAUUUAUCGCCUUUGGAUGGGCCCGCGUUGGUUUAGCUAGUUGGUAGGGUAAAAGCCUACCAAGGCGACGAUCCAUAGCUGGUCUGAGAGGAUGAUCAGCCACACUGGGACUGAGACACGGCCCAGACUCCUACGGGAGGCAGCAGUGGGGAAUAUUGGACAAUGGGCGAAAGCCUGAUCCAGCAAUGCCGCGUGAGUGAUGAAGGCCUUAGGGUUGUAAAGCUCUUUUACCCGGGAUGAUAAUGACAGUACCGGGAGAAUAAGCUCCGGCUAACUCCGUG